RNAcentral lists this ribosomal RNA (404 nucleotides) under uncultured bacterium. RNAcentral describes it as "bacterial SSU rRNA". It matches the Rfam family "Bacterial small subunit ribosomal RNA", at positions 355 to 775 of the family's 1533-position model. The record is from RNAcentral.
UGAGGAAUAUUGCGCAAUGGGCGAAAGCCUGACGCAGCAACGCCGCGUGAGCGAUGAAGGCCUUCGGGUCGUAAAGCUCUUUUCCCAGGGAAGAGAAUGGACGGUACCUGGGGAAUAAGUCACGGCUAACUACGUGCCAGCAGCCGCGGUAAAACGUAGGUGGCAAGCGUUAUCCGGAUUCACUGGGCGUAAAGCGCACGCAGGUGGCACGGCAGGUAGGGCAUGAAAACUCCUGGCUUAACUAGGAGAGGCUGUCCUAAACCGCCGGGCUUGAGGGUGAGAGAGGGAAGUGGAAUUGCCGGUGUAGUGGUGAAAUGCGUAGAGAUCGGCAGGAACACCAGUGGCGAAAGCGGCUUCCUGGCUCACUUCUGACACUCAUGUGCGAAAGCUAGGGGAGCGAACGG